GAUGAACGCUAGCGGCAGGCCUAAUACAUGCAAGUCGAACGGGCGGUAGCAAUACCGCUAGUGGCGCACGGGUGCGUAACGCGUAACCAACCUGCCCAGAUCUGGGGGAUAGCCCGCCGAAAGGCGGAUUAAUACCGCAUAAACCCACAGUGUGGCAUCACAUAAUGGGUAAAGAUUGAUCGGAUCUGGAUGGGGUUGCGUAGCAUUAGCUAGUUGGCGGGGUAAUGGCACACCAAGGCGACGAUGCUUAGGGGACCUGAGAGGGUGCUCCCCCACACUGGCACUGAGAUACGGGCCAGACUGCUACGGGAGGCAGCAGUAGGGAAUAUGGGGCAAUGGGCGAGAGCCUGACCCAGCCAUGCCGCGUGCCGGAUGAAGGCCUUCUGGGGUGUAAACGGCUUUUCUAAGGGAAGAAAACGUGGAUGCGUCCUCAACUGACGGUACCUGAGGAAUAAGCACCGGCUAACUCCGUG
RNAcentral lists this ribosomal RNA (473 nucleotides) under uncultured bacterium. RNAcentral's name for it is "partial 16S ribosomal RNA". It matches the Rfam family "Bacterial small subunit ribosomal RNA", at positions 28 to 507 of the family's 1533-position model. The record is from RNAcentral.